This 433-nucleotide transfer RNA is filed under the name Lacticaseibacillus rhamnosus. Its description in RNAcentral is "Lactobacillus rhamnosus 16S-23S intergenic spacer". The stretch from base 90 to 163 matches the Rfam family "tRNA". Lineage: Bacteria; Bacillati; Bacillota; Bacilli; Lactobacillales; Lactobacillaceae. The record is from RNAcentral.
CUAAGGAAACAGACUGAAAGUCUGACGGAAACCUGCACACACGAAACUUUGUUUAGUUUUGAGGGGAUUACCCUUUCUACACGCCUAUCGGGCCUAUAGCUCAGUUGGUUAGAGCGCACGCUUGAUAAGCGUGAGGUCGAUGGUUCAAGUCCAUCUAGGCCCAUCAAGCGUUCGCUUGUUAAUUGAACAACCCUUAUGGGGGAUUAGCUCAGCUGGGAGAGCGCCUGCUUUGCAAGCAGGAGGUCAUCGGUUCGAUCCCGUUAUCCUCCAUUGGCCGUCAGGCCGAUCGUUGACGUUAGUUGGCGAUUCUUUGUUCUUUGAAAACUGGAUAUCAUUGUUGUAAAUGUUUUAAAUUGCCGAGAACACAGCGUAUUUGUAUGAGUUUCUAAUAAUAGAAAUUCGCAUCGCAUAACCGCUGACGCAAGUCAGUACA